CAGCGCCGCGGGAAAACGGAGGGUGCAAGCGUUAAUCGGAAUUACUGGGCGUAAAGCGCACGCAGGCGGUCUGACAAGUCAGAUGUGAAAUCCCCGGGCUUAACCUGGGAACUGCAUUUGAAACUGUCAGGCUGGAGUCUUGUAGAGGGGGGUAGAAUUCCAGGUGUAGCGGUGAAAUGCGUAGAGAUCUGGAGGAAUACCGGUGGCGAAGGCGGCCCCCUGGACAAAGACUGACGCUCAGGUGCGAAAGCGUGGGGAGCAAACAGGAUUAGAUACCCCUGUAGUCCCUGUCUCUUAUACC
RNAcentral lists this ribosomal RNA (301 nucleotides) under uncultured bacterium. RNAcentral's name for it is "partial 16S ribosomal RNA". It matches the Rfam family "Bacterial small subunit ribosomal RNA", at positions 509 to 808 of the family's 1533-position model. The record is from RNAcentral.